RNAcentral lists this ribosomal RNA (464 nucleotides) under Vreelandella stevensii. RNAcentral's name for it is "partial 16S ribosomal RNA". It matches the Rfam family "Bacterial small subunit ribosomal RNA", at positions 338 to 795 of the family's 1533-position model. The record is from RNAcentral. Lineage: Bacteria; Pseudomonadati; Pseudomonadota; Gammaproteobacteria; Oceanospirillales; Halomonadaceae.
CCUACGGGAGGCUGCAGUGGGGAAUAUUGGACAAUGGGGGGAACCCUGAUCCAGCCAUGCCGCGUGUGUGAAGAAGGCCCUCGGGUUGUAAAGCACUUUCAGUGAGGAAGAACGCCUGGUGGUUAAUACCCAUCAGGAAAGACAUCACUCACAGAAGAAGCACCGGCUAACUCCGUGCCAGCAGCCGCGGUAAUACGGAGGUGCGAGCGUUAAUCGGAAUUACUGGGCGUAAAGCGCGCGUAGGUGGCUUGAUAAGCCGGUUGUGAAAGCCCCGGGCUCAACCUGGGAACGGCAUCCGGAACUGUCAAGCUAGAGUGCAGGAGAGGAAGGUAGAAUUCCCGGUGUAGCGGUGAAAUGCGUAGAGAUCGGGAGGAAUACCAGUGGCGAAGGCGGCCUUCUGGACUGACACUGACACUGAGGUGCGAAAGCGUGGGUAGCAAACAGGAUUAGAUACCCCAGUAGUC